Molecule: ribosomal RNA, 446 nt
Filed under: uncultured bacterium
Lineage: Bacteria
Description: partial 16S ribosomal RNA
Rfam family: Bacterial small subunit ribosomal RNA
Source: RNAcentral
CCUACGGGUGGCAGCAGUCGAGAAUUAUUCACAAUGGGGGAAACCCUGAUGGUGCGACGCCGCGUGGGGGAAUGAAGGUCUUCGGAUUGUAAACCCCUGUCAUGUGGGAGCAAAUUAAAAAGAUAGUACCACAAGAGGAAGAGACGGCUAACUCUGUGCCAGCAGCCGCGGUAAUACAGAGGUCUCAAGCGUUGUUCGGAAUCACUGGGCGUAAAGGGUGCGGAGGCUGUUUCGUAAGUCGUGUGUGAAAGGCGCGGGCUCAACCCGCGGACGGCACAUGAUACUGCGAGACUAGAGUAAUGGAGGGGGAACCGGAAUGCUCGGUGUAGCAGUGAAAUGCGUAGAUAUCGAGAGGAACACUCGUGGCGAAGGCGGGUUCCUGGUCAUUAACUGACGCUGAGGCACGAAGGCCAGGGGAGCGAAAGGGAUUAGAUACCCGGGUAGUC